ACCUGGCUGGCUCAGUUGGUAGAGCAUGUGACUCUUGAUCUCAGGGUCGUGAGUUCAAGCCCUAUGUUGGGCA
Molecule: transfer RNA, 73 nt
Filed under: Felis catus (domestic cat)
Lineage: Eukaryota; Metazoa; Chordata; Mammalia; Carnivora; Felidae
Also listed under: 2 other names
Rfam family: tRNA
About the family: Transfer RNA (tRNA) molecules are approximately 80 nucleotides in length.
Source: Rfam by way of RNAcentral